Rattus norvegicus (Norway rat) is the source of this 249-nucleotide non-coding RNA. NCBI's taxonomy places the organism in Eukaryota, Metazoa, Chordata, Mammalia, Rodentia, Muridae. The record is from RefSeq and is a predicted model, not a curated record.
AGGGCUCUAAACGACAGCAUGAAGAAAAGGAAAGAAAAAACAACAAAUCCAAAUGCUUCUAGUGUCACUAGAGUCAUUCAGCAAGGGAACUAAGAUCGAAGGACCCUGGGCCUGGUCUGAUGCCACACUGCUAAUAAGAAGAGGAAGAAUCCCAGAGGAGGCCUACAGUUCUCCUAGCUCUGUUCUCCUGUGCUGAUCUGCCACAGGGUGGUGGAACCAUAAGGUAAUAUUAAAUUAUAUUCCAUACAA